Molecule: long non-coding RNA, 289 nt
Filed under: Homo sapiens (human)
Lineage: Eukaryota; Metazoa; Chordata; Mammalia; Primates; Hominidae
Description: non-protein coding lnc-RIOK2-4:1
Source: RNAcentral
GGAGUUGUUUGCAAGAUGCACAAAAGUCACAAUAGUUAAUUCUCUAUGAUGCUAUUGCUGUGUGUAUAAAUUGUUCAGUAGAAUAUCAAUACAUGAGCAUGAGGAAAAUGGAAGGACAUAUCUACAGGUGUUAACAUGACAAAUAUGAGACAUGGGGUGCUGAUGUUAUAAAAGUUUGUAGGGGAAGAGUCUAUUGAUAAAAAACUGAAUGUAUGAUAUGAUCCCAUCUGUGAACAAUGAAAGAAGGAUGUAUGUAUAUACAUAUGCAUAAAAAGAUGGCUAAGGCUGG